GUGCUCGAUCUGCUGCGGACAGAUGUAGUGAAUGUGGCUGUCGAAACCGCCGGCCGUGAGAAUUUUGCCCUCGCCCGCGAUGAUGUCGGUGCCCGGGCCGAUGACGAUGGUGACGCCCGGCUGGAUAUCCGGAUUGCCGGCCUUGCCGAUGGCGGCAAUGUUGCCGUCCUUGAUGGCGACAUCGGCUUUCACGAUGCCCCAGUGAUCGACGAUCAGCGCGUUGGUGAUGACGGUGUCGGCCGCGCCCUGCUUGUUGGUCACCUGCGACUGGCCCAUGCCGUCGCGGAUCAC
Molecule: non-coding RNA, 291 nt
Organism: Proteobacteria bacterium SG_bin9
Lineage: Bacteria; Pseudomonadati; Pseudomonadota
Source: Rfam